This 243-nucleotide long non-coding RNA is filed under the name Lathyrus oleraceus (garden pea). Its description in RNAcentral is "Pisum sativum (pea) long non-coding RNA (PSAT_LNC039742)". The record is from RNAcentral. Lineage: Eukaryota; Viridiplantae; Streptophyta; Magnoliopsida; Fabales; Fabaceae.
UCUCUUUCAGGUUUCUAACUGCUCAAACAAUUGCUGCUACACACUCCUUUGAUUUGUGUUACAACUGUUUUUCACUUGUGAAUUCGUACUCUUUAACUGAGCUGUCAAAAUACUUCUUAUAUGUGAAAGACAGAAGCUGUUAGUAGACAAAACAGAAUUAUGUAUUGAUACAAAAGAUUAUGCAUCGAUACAUACUGUAGCUUUGAUUAAUUUUAGAGAAUUAAUACAAGCAUGUAUCGAUAC